GCUAUCGGGGUUCGAUUAAGCCAUGCGAGUCGAGAGGUGCAAGACCUCGGCGCACUGCUCAGUAACACGUGGAUAACCUACCCUCAGGAGGGGGAUAACCCCGGGAAACUGGGGAUAAUACCCCAUAGACCAGGGACGCUGGAAUGCCUCCUGGUCCAAAGGUCCGCCGCCUGAGGAUGGGUCUGCGGCCGAUUAGGUUGUUGUUGGGGUAACGGCCCAACAAGCCUUUGAUCGGUACGGGUUGUGAGAGCAAGAGCCCGGAGAUGGAUUCUGAGACACGAAUCCAGGCCCUACGGGGCGCAGCAGGCGCGAAAACUUUACAAUGCGAGAAAUCGUGAUAAGGGAACCCCGAGUGCCCGUAAAUUCGGGCUGUCCAUCAGUGUAAAUAACUGGUGAAGAAAGGGCCGGGCAAGACCGGUGCCAGCCGCCGCGGUAAUACCGGCGGCUCGAGUGGUGGCCACUAUUACUGGGCUUAAAGCGUCCGUAGCUUGAUUGUUAAGUCUCUUGGGAAA
RNAcentral lists this ribosomal RNA (512 nucleotides) under uncultured methanogenic archaeon. Its description in RNAcentral is "bacterial SSU rRNA". It matches the Rfam family "Archaeal small subunit ribosomal RNA", at positions 29 to 549 of the family's 1478-position model. The record is from RNAcentral. Lineage: Archaea; Methanobacteriati; Methanobacteriota.